UCGAACGAUGAAGGAGGAGCUUGCUCCUCCGGAUUAGUGGCGAACGGGUGAGUAAUACGUGAGCAAUGUGCCCUUGACUCUGGGAUAAGCGCUGGAAACGGCGUCUAAUACCGGAUACGACCCUCGGAGGCAUCUCCUGAUGGUGGAAAGAACUUCGGUCAAGGAUCAGCUCACGGCCUAUCAGCUAGUUGGUGAGGUAACGGCUCACCAAGGCGACGACGGGUAGCCGGCCUGAGAGGGUGACCGGCCACACUGGGACUGAGACACGGCCCAGACUCCUACGGGAGGCAGCAGUGGGGAAUAUUGCACAAUGGGCGCAAGCCUGAUGCAGCAACGCCGCGUGAGGGACGAAGGCCUUCGGGUUGUAAACCUCUUUUAGCAGGGAAGAAGCGAAAGUGACGGUACCUGCAGAAAAAGCACCGGCUAACUACGUGCCAGCAGCCGCGGUAAUACGUAGGGUGCAAGCGUUGUCCGGAAUUAUUGGGCGUAAAGAGCUCGUAGGCGGUUUGUCGCGUCUGCUGUGAAAACCCGAGGCUCAACCUCGGGCUUGCAGUGGGUACGGGCAGACUAUAGUGCGGUAGGGGAGAUUGGAAUUCCUGGUGUAGCGGUGGAAUGCGCAGAUAUCAGGAGGAACACCGAUGGCGAAGGCAGAUCUCUGGGCCGUAACUGACGCUGAGGAGCGAAAGCAUGGGGAGCAAACAGGCUUAGAUACCCUGGUAGUCCAUGCCGUAAACGUUGGGAACUAGAUGUGGGGACCAUUCCACGGUCUCCGUGUCGUAGCUAACGCAUUAAGUUCCCCGCCUGGGGAGUACGGCCGCAAGGCUAAAAC
Molecule: ribosomal RNA, 829 nt
Filed under: Agrococcus jenensis
Lineage: Bacteria; Bacillati; Actinomycetota; Actinomycetes; Micrococcales; Microbacteriaceae
Description: bacterial SSU rRNA
Rfam family: Bacterial small subunit ribosomal RNA
Source: RNAcentral